Molecule: ribosomal RNA, 531 nt
Filed under: Cottus sp. 'Nippenose Valley' (Pennsylvania grotto sculpin)
Lineage: Eukaryota; Metazoa; Chordata; Actinopteri; Perciformes; Cottidae
Description: partial 16S ribosomal RNA
Rfam family: Bacterial large subunit ribosomal RNA
Source: RNAcentral
UAAGAGGUCCCGCCUGCCCUGUGACUAUUUGUUUAACGGCCGCGGUAUUUUGACCGUGCAAAGGUAGCGCAAUCACUUGUCUUUUAAAUGAAGACCCGUAUGAAUGGCAUAACGAGGGCUUAGCUGUCUCCUCUUUCCAGUCAAUGAAGUUGAUCUUCCCGUGCAGAAGCGGGAAUAUAAUCAUAAGACGAGAAGACCCUAUGGAGCUUUAGACACAAAAGCAGCCCACGUUAAACACCCCAAAUAAGGGACUAAACCAAGGGGGCCCUGCCCUAAUGUCUUUGGUUGGGGCGACCGCGGGGAAUUAAAGAACCCCCACGUGGAAUGGGCACACUUUUCCUUCAACUAAGAGCUACAGCUCUAGAAAACAGAAUUUCUGACCAACAAGAUCCGGCAAUGCCGAUCAACGGACCGAGUUACCCUAGGGAUAACAGCGCAAUCCUCUUUUAGAGCCCAUAUCGACAAGGGGGUUUACGACCUCGAUGUUGGAUCAGGACAUCCUAAUGGUGCAGCCGCUAUUAAGGGUUCGUU